RNAcentral lists this ribosomal RNA (207 nucleotides) under uncultured bacterium. RNAcentral describes it as "partial 16S ribosomal RNA". It matches the Rfam family "Bacterial small subunit ribosomal RNA", at positions 568 to 774 of the family's 1533-position model. The record is from RNAcentral.
GGUGUAGGUGGCUCUAUAAGUCAGGAGUGAAAUCCCCAAGCUUAACUUGGGAAGUGCUUUUGAUACUGCAGAGCUUGAAUGUGGGAGAGGGUAGUAGAAUUCCAGGUGUAGUGGUGAAAUACGUAGAUAUCUGGAGGAAUACCGGUGGCGAAGGCGGCUACCUGGCCCAACAUUGACACUGAGACCCGAAAGCGUGGGGAUCAAACA